This 430-nucleotide ribosomal RNA is filed under the name uncultured bacterium. RNAcentral describes it as "partial 16S ribosomal RNA". It matches the Rfam family "Bacterial small subunit ribosomal RNA", at positions 29 to 505 of the family's 1533-position model. The record is from RNAcentral.
AACGAACGCUGGCGGCAUGCCUAACACAUGCAAGUCGAACGAGACCUUCGGGUCUAGUGGCGCACGGGUGCGUAACGCGUGGGAACCUGCCCUUAGGUUCGGAAUAACUCCCCGAAAGGGGUGCUAAUACCGGAUAAUGUCUUCGGACCAAAGAUUUAUCGCCUUGGAUGGGCCCGCGUUGGAUUAGCUAGUUGGUAGGGUAAAAGCCUACCAAGGCGACGAUCCAUAGCUGGUCUGAGAGGAUGAUCAGCCACACUGGGACUGAGACACGGCCCAGACUCCUACGGAAGGCAGCAGUGGGGAAUAUUGGACAAUGGGCGAAAGCCUGAUCCAGCAAUGCCGCGUGAGUGAUGAAGGCCUUAGGGUUGUAAAGCUCUUUUACCCGGGAUGAUAAUGACAGUACCGGGAGAAUAAGCUCCGGCUAACUCCG